Molecule: ribosomal RNA, 423 nt
Filed under: uncultured bacterium
Lineage: Bacteria
Description: partial 16S ribosomal RNA
Rfam family: Bacterial small subunit ribosomal RNA
Source: RNAcentral
AAUUUUGGACAAUGGGGGAAACCCUGAUCUAGCCAUCCCGCGUGUAUGAUGAAGGCCUUCGGGUUGUAAAGUACUUUUGGCAGAGAAGAAAAGGUACCUCCUAAUAUGAGGUACUGCUGACGGUAUCUGCAGAAUAAGAACCGGCUAACUACGUGCCUGCAGCCGCGGUAAUACGUAGGGUGCAAGCGUUAAUCGGAAUUACUGGGCGUAAAGCGGGUAUAGGCGGUUCGGAAAGAAAUAUGUGAAAACCCAGGGCUCAACCUUGGAACUGCAUUUUUAACUGCCGAACUAGAGUAUGUCAGAGGGGGGUAGAAUUCCACGUGUAGCAGUGAAAUGCGUAGAUAUGUGGAGAAAUACCGAUGGCGAAGACAGCCCCCUGGGAUAAUACUGGCGCUCAGACACGAAAGCGUGGGGAGCAAACAG